Molecule: long non-coding RNA, 295 nt
Filed under: Capsicum annuum
Lineage: Eukaryota; Viridiplantae; Streptophyta; Magnoliopsida; Solanales; Solanaceae
Description: long non-coding RNA (CANN_LNC019446)
Source: RNAcentral
AUAACUAAUUUUAAUCCUUAAUCAGAUAUUAUUUCAUCACACGACCCCCAUAAUCAAUCCAUAAUCAAGGAAAUCAAACACCGAAUCAGAACAAACAAAUAUUAACCAAUCUAACACUCAAACUUCACCAAUAAUUCACAUGCCGAAUCACGUUCAACAAUCACAUAAGAAUUAAAAGAGAGGAAAGAAUUGGACCUCAAUAUCGCUUUCAAAUAUCAUUCGAUAAAACGAGAUGAAACCCGCACCGGAACCUCGAACCAAAACCUCAGUAACAACCCGUAUAGAGAAACUCCAC